RNAcentral lists this transfer RNA (69 nucleotides) under Ictidomys tridecemlineatus (thirteen-lined ground squirrel). RNAcentral describes it as "Spermophilus tridecemlineatus (thirteen-lined ground squirrel) tRNA". It matches the Rfam family "tRNA". From Rfam's summary of the family: Transfer RNA (tRNA) molecules are approximately 80 nucleotides in length. The record is from Rfam by way of RNAcentral. Lineage: Eukaryota; Metazoa; Chordata; Mammalia; Rodentia; Sciuridae.
GGGGAUAUAGCUCAGUUGGUAGAGUGCUUGCCUUGCACGCAUGAGGCCCGGGUUCAAUCCCCAGCACCA